RNAcentral lists this ribosomal RNA (973 nucleotides) under Ceratocystis fimbriata. RNAcentral's name for it is "LSU rRNA". The stretch from base 121 to 973 matches the Rfam family "Eukaryotic large subunit ribosomal RNA", at positions 1 to 883 of the family's 3401-position model. The record is from RNAcentral. Lineage: Eukaryota; Fungi; Ascomycota; Sordariomycetes; Microascales; Ceratocystidaceae.
UAUUUGCAGCUUCCCUGUGUAGUAAUAUUUAUUUUACGCUUUGAAACUCUUUUACAACAUGCCGUAAAACCCUAGAUUAAAUUUUAAUUUUUUUAAAGUUUUAUUUUUUUUUCAAAAGGUUGACCUCGGAUCAGGUAGGAAUACCCGCUGAACUUAAGCAUAUCAAUAAGCGGAGGAAAAGAAACCAACAGGGAUUGCCUUAGUAGCGGCGAGCGAAGCGGCAACAGCUCAAAUUUGAAAUCUGGCUACUUUGUAGUCCGAGUUGUAAUUUGCAGAGGAUGCUUUUGGUGAGGUGCCUUCCGAGUUCCCUGGAACGGGACGCCAGAGAGGGUGAGAGCCCCGUACGGUUGGACACCAAACCUUUGUAUAGCUCCUUCAACGAGUCGAGUAGUUUGGGAAUGCUGCUCUAAAUGGGAGGUAUAUCUCUUCUAAAGCUAAAUACCGGCUAGAGACCGAUAGCGCACAAGUAGAGUGAUCGAAAGAUGAAAAGCACUUUGAAAAGAGAGUUAAACAGCACGUGAAAUUGUUGAAAGGGAAGCGCCUAUGACCAGACUUGUUUCUGUCAGUUUUGCUUGUUUUCGGACUUGUUUACUCUGUCAGUACAGGCCAACAUCAGUUUGUUGUUUGGGAGAAAGGCUUAGGGAAUGUGGCUCCCUCGGGAGUGUUAUAGCCCUUUGCAUAAUACCAUUCGGCAGACUGAGGACCGCGCUUCGGCAAGGAUGUUGGCGUAAUGGUCAUCAGCGACCCGUCUUGAAACACGGACCAAGGAGUCAACCUUAUGUGCGAGUGUUUGGGUGUAAAACCCCAGCGCGUAAUGAACGUGAACGUAGGUGAGAGCUUCGGCGCAUCAUCGACCGAUUCUGAUGUUCUCGGAUGGAUUUGAGUAAGAGCAUAUAGGGUUGGACCCGAAAGAAGGUGAACUAUGCUUGUAUAGGGUGAAGCCAGAGGAAACUCUGGUGGAGGCUCGCAGCGG